GCAAAUUGACACCGUAACUUCGGAAGAAGGUGUGCCUUUAGUAGGUGAACCCGUACAGGGGAAGCCCAAUGAGGCCGCAGAGAAUCGGUGGCUGCAACUGUUUAUUAAAAACACAGCACUCUGCAAAGACGAAAGUCGACGUAUAGGGUGUGACUCCUGCCCGGUGCUGGAAGAUUAAAUGAUGGGGUGCAAGCUCUUGAUUGAAGUCCCAGUAAACGGCGGCCGUAACGAUAACGGUCCUAAGGUAGCGAAAUUCCUUGUCGGGUAAGUUCCGACCUGCACGAAUGGAGUAAUGAUGGCCACACUGUCUCCUCCAGAGACUCAGCGAAGUUGAAAUGUUUGUGAUGAUGCAAUCUCCCCGCGGAAAGACGGAAAGACCCCAUGAACCUUUACUGUAGCUUUACAUUGGACUUUGAACAGAUCUGUGUAGGAUAGGUGGGAGGCUUUGAAGCGGUGCCGCUAGGUAUCGUGGAGCCAACGUUGAAAUACCACCCUGGUGUGUUUGAGGUUCUAACCUUGGCCCGUUAUCCGGGUUGGGGACAGUGUAUGGUGGGCAGUUUGACUGGGGCGGUCUCCUCCCAAAGUGUAACGGAGGAGUUCGAAGGUACGCUAGGCACGGUCGGAAAUCGUGCUGAUAGUGCAUAGGCAUAAGCGUGCUUGACUGCGAGACUGACAAGUCGAGCAGGUACGAAAGUAGGACUAAGUGAUCCGGUGGUUCUGUAUGGAAGGGCCAUCGCUCAAUGGAUAAAAGGUACUCUGGGGAUAACAGGCUGAUACCGCCCAAGAGUUCAUAUCGACGGCGGUGUUUGGCACCUCGAUGUCGGCUCAUCUCAUCCUGGGGCUGUAGCCGGUCCCAAGGGUAUGGCUGUUCGCCAUUUAAAGAGGUACGUGAGCUGGGUUUAAAACGUCGUGAGACAGUUUGGUCCCUAUCUUCCGUGGGCGCUGCAAGAUUGAGAGAGCCUGCUCCUAGUACGAGAGGACCGGAGUGGACGCACCUCUGGUGUAUCGGUUGUCACGCCAGUGGCAUUGCCGAGUAGCUAAGUGCGGAAGAGAUAACCGCUGAAAGCAUCUAAGCGGGAAACUCGUCUCAAGAUGAGUCUUGCCGGGGCCUUGAGCCCCCUGAAGAGUCGUUCGAGACCAGGACGUUGAUAGGUCGGGUGUGGAAGCGCAGUAAUGCGUUAAGCUAACCGAUACUAAUUGCUCGUGAGGCUUGACCCU
This 1218-nucleotide ribosomal RNA is filed under the name metagenome. Its description in RNAcentral is "bacterial LSU rRNA". It matches the Rfam family "Bacterial large subunit ribosomal RNA", at positions 1717 to 2925 of the family's 2925-position model. The record is from RNAcentral.